UGGAACAGAGCCCGGAAGUAAAGCCUAUCGACUAGUCAACCCAAUAACUAAGAGAAUUGUGGUUAGUAGAGACGUAGUUUUCAAUGAAAGUCAAAGGUGGAAGUGGUCAGAUGAGAAGAAAGAGGGCAACAAUAUGUCUGGUACGAUAGACUUUGGUUUCAAAGUAAUUAGUGAUCAGGAUAUUUCUCAAGACGAAGGAGAUGUCAAAGCGAAGGAAGAAGUUUAUGAUGCGACUCAAAAUCCACAACAAGAGGCACCAG
Molecule: long non-coding RNA, 260 nt
Filed under: Brassica napus (rape)
Lineage: Eukaryota; Viridiplantae; Streptophyta; Magnoliopsida; Brassicales; Brassicaceae
Description: long non-coding RNA (BNAP_LNC010947)
Source: RNAcentral